Molecule: ribosomal RNA, 2906 nt
Filed under: Klebsiella oxytoca
Lineage: Bacteria; Pseudomonadati; Pseudomonadota; Gammaproteobacteria; Enterobacterales; Enterobacteriaceae
Description: 23S ribosomal RNA
Rfam family: Bacterial large subunit ribosomal RNA
Source: RNAcentral
GGUUAAGCGACUAAGCGUACACGGUGGAUGCCCUGGCAGUCAGAGGCGAUGAAGGACGUGCUAAUCUGCGAAAAGCGUCGGUAAGGUGAUAUGAACCGUUAUAGCCGGCGAUGUCCGAAUGGGGAAACCCAGUGCAAUUCGUUGCACUAUCGUUAACUGAAUACAUAGGUUAACGAGGCGAACCGGGGGAACUGAAACAUCUAAGUACCCCGAGGAAAAGAAAUCAACCGAGAUUCCCCCAGUAGCGGCGAGCGAACGGGGAGCAGCCCGGAGUCUGAAUCAGCUUGUGUGUUAGUGGAAGCGUCUGGAAAGUCGCAGGGUACAGGGUGAUACUCCCGUACACUAAAACACACAGGCUGUGAACUCGAAGAGUAGGGCGGGACACGUGGUAUCCUGUCUGAAUAUGGGGGGACCAUCCUCCAAGGCUAAAUACUCCUGACUGACCGAUAGUGAACCAGUACCGUGAGGGAAAGGCGAAAAGAACCCCGGCGAGGGGAGUGAAAAAGAACCUGAAACCGUGUACGUACAAGCAGUAGGAGCCCACUAGUUGGGUGACUGCGUACCUUUUGUAUAAUGGGUCAGCGACUUAUAUUCUGUAGCAAGGUUAACCGAAUAGGGGAGCCGCAGGGAAACCGAGUCUUAACUGGGCGUUAAGUUGCAGGGUAUAGACCCGAAACCCGGUGAUCUAGCCAUGGGCAGGUUGAAGGUUGGGUAACACUAACUGGAGGACCGAACCGACUAAUGUUGAAAAAUUAGCGGAUGACUUGUGGCUGGGGGUGAAAGGCCAAUCAAACCGGGAGAUAGCUGGUUCUCCCCGAAAGCUAUUUAGGUAGCGCCUCGUGAACUCAUCUUCGGGGGUAGAGCACUGUUUCGGCUAGGGGGUCAUCCCGACUUACCAACCCGAUGCAAACUACGAAUACCGAAGAAUGUUAUCACGGGAGACACACGGCGGGUGCUAACGUCCGUCGUGAAGAGGGAAACAACCCAGACCGCCAGCUAAGGUCCCAAAGUCAUGGUUAAGUGGGAAACGAUGUGGGAAGGCCCAGACAGCCAGGAUGUUGGCUUAGAAGCAGCCAUCAUUUAAAGAAAGCGUAAUAGCUCACUGGUCGAGUCGGCCUGCGCGGAAGAUGUAACGGGGCUAAACCAUGCACCGAAGCUGCGGCAGCGACACUAUGUGUUGUUGGGUAGGGGAGCGUUCUGUAAGCCGUUGAAGGUGGCCUGUGAGGGUUGCUGGAGGUAUCAGAAGUGCGAAUGCUGACAUAAGUAACGAUAAUGCGGGUGAAAAACCCGCACGCCGGAAGACCAAGGGUUCCUGUCCAACGUUAAUCGGGGCAGGGUGAGUCGACCCCUAAGGCGAGGCCGAAAGGCGUAGUCGAUGGGAAACAGGUUAAUAUUCCUGUACUUGGUGUUACUGCGAAGGGGGGACGGAGAAGGCUAUGUUGGCCGGGCGACGGUUGUCCCGGUUUAAGCAUGUAGGCGGAUGUUCCAGGUAAAUCCGGAACGUUACUAACGCUGAGGUGUGAUGACGAGGCACUACGGUGCUGAAGUGACAAAUGCCCUGCUUCCAGGAAAAGCCUCUAAGCAUCAGGUAACAUCAAAUCGUACCCCAAACCGACACAGGUGGUCAGGUAGAGAAUACCAAGGCGCUUGAGAGAACUCGGGUGAAGGAACUAGGCAAAAUGGUGCCGUAACUUCGGGAGAAGGCACGCUGAUGGUAAGUGAAGUGACUUGCUCAUGGAGCUGAAAUCAGUCGAAGAUACCAGCUGGCUGCAACUGUUUAUUAAAAACACAGCACUGUGCAAACACGAAAGUGGACGUAUACGGUGUGACGCCUGCCCGGUGCCGGAAGGUUAAUUGAUGGGGUUAUCCUCGCGGAGAAGCUCUUGAUCGAAGCCCCGGUAAACGGCGGCCGUAACUAUAACGGUCCUAAGGUAGCGAAAUUCCUUGUCGGGUAAGUUCCGACCUGCACGAAUGGCGUAAUGAUGGCCAGGCUGUCUCCACCCGAGACUCAGUGAAAUUGAACUCGCUGUGAAGAUGCAGUGUACCCGCGGCAAGACGGAAAGACCCCGUGAACCUUUACUAUAGCUUGACACUGAACACUGGUCCUUGAUGUGUAGGAUAGGUGGGAGGCUUUGAAGUGUGGACGCCAGUCUGCAUGGAGCCAUCCUUGAAAUACCACCCUUUAAUGGCUGGUGUUCUAACGUGGGCCCGUGAUCCGGGUUGCGGACAGUGUCUGGUGGGUAGUUUGACUGGGGCGGUCUCCUCCUAAAGAGUAACGGAGGAGCACGAAGGUCAGCUAAUCCUGGUCGGACAUCAGGAGGUUAGUGCAAUGGCAUAAGCUGGCUUGACUGCGAGCGUGACGGCGCGAGCAGGUGCGAAAGCAGGUCAUAGUGAUCCGGUGGUUCUGAAUGGAAGGGCCAUCGCUCAACGGAUAAAAGGUACUCCGGGGAUAACAGGCUGAUACCGCCCAAGAGUUCAUAUCGACGGCGGUGUUUGGCACCUCGAUGUCGGCUCAUCACAUCCUGGGGCUGAAGUAGGUCCCAAGGGUAUGGCUGUUCGCCAUUUAAAGUGGUACGCGAGCUGGGUUUAGAACGUCGUGAGACAGUUCGGUCCCUAUCUGCCGUGGGCGCUGGAGAAUUGAGGGGGGCUGCUCCUAGUACGAGAGGACCGGAGUGGACGCAUCACUGGUGUUCGGGUUGUCAUGCCAAUGGCAUUGCCCGGUAGCUAAAUGCGGAAGAGAUAAGUGCUGAAAGCAUCUAAGCACGAAACUUGCCCCGAGAUGAGUUCUCCCUGACUCCUUGAGAGUCCUGAAGGAACGUUGAAGACGACGACGUUGAUAGGCCGGGUGUGUAAGCGCAGCGAUGCGUUGAGCUAACCGGUACUAAUGAACCGUGAGGCUUAACCUU